AGGGAAUAUUGGGCAAUGGGCGGGAGCCUGACCCAGCCAUGCCGCGUGCAGGAAGAAGGCGUUAUGCGUUGUAAACUGCUUUUAUACGGGAAGAAAAGGCCCAUGCGUGGGACAUUGCCGGUACCGUAUGAAUAAGCACCGGCUAACUCCGUGCCAGCAGCCGCGGUAAUACGGAGGGUGCAAGCGUUGUCCGGAUUUAUUGGGUUUAAAGGGUGCGUAGGCGGCCCGUUAAGUCAGCGGUGAAAGUCUGUGGCUCAACCAUAGAAGCGCCGUUGAUACUGAUGGGCUUGAGUGCCGUAUGGGUACAUGGAAUUGAUGGUGUAGCGGUGAAAUGCAUAGAUACCAUCAGGAACACCGAUAGCGUAGGCAUUGUACUGUGCGGCAACUGACGCUGAGGCACGAAAGCAUGGGUAGCGAAC
Molecule: ribosomal RNA, 419 nt
Filed under: uncultured bacterium
Lineage: Bacteria
Description: bacterial SSU rRNA
Rfam family: Bacterial small subunit ribosomal RNA
Source: RNAcentral